Long non-coding RNA from Arabidopsis thaliana (thale cress), 279 nucleotides. RefSeq annotates it as other RNA. The record is from RefSeq. The transcript has a single exon. Lineage: Eukaryota; Viridiplantae; Streptophyta; Magnoliopsida; Brassicales; Brassicaceae.
UACAAGUCUUCUCCGCAAAAUAAGAAGAAGAAGAUAAUGUAAAAUAAACGAAGUUAAAUCUAAUCUGGUUACGGUUUGAAUUCAAUUGGAUGAAAAAUGUUUUGUUUUUUCUUUUCUUUAAAGGACGCAAAGUUCGAUGAAGUGGGAGAGAGAGGAAGAGGAAAGGGACUUGUGCAUGGAAGUGAUUAAGCAAAGGCUCAUUCAUCAGUUGUUUUCACACUUAAUAACAUUUCUGCCACACCACACUUUCCCUCGAUCCUCGUCAAUUCCAUGCCCUUU